GUAGUCCACGCUGUAAACGAUGAGUACUAGGUGUCGGGGGUUACCCCCCUCGGUGCCGCAGCUAACGCAUUAAGUACUCCGCCUGGGGAGUACGCACGCAAGUGUGAAACUCAAAGGAAUUGACGGGGACCCGCACAAGUAGCGGAGCAUGUGGUUUAAUUCGAAGCAACGCGAAGAACCUUACCUAAGCUUGACAUCCCUCGGACCGGUGUUUAAUCACACCUUCCCUUCGGGGCUGAGGUGACAGGUGGUGCAUGGUUGUCGUCAGCUCGUGUCGUGAGAUGUUGGGUUAAGUCCCGCAACGAGCGCAACCCUUGUCUUUAGUUGCCAGCAUUCAGUUGGGCACUCUAGAGAGACUGCCAGGGAUAACCUGGA
RNAcentral lists this ribosomal RNA (375 nucleotides) under uncultured bacterium. RNAcentral's name for it is "bacterial SSU rRNA". It matches the Rfam family "Bacterial small subunit ribosomal RNA", at positions 790 to 1167 of the family's 1533-position model. The record is from RNAcentral.